AUUCGUCUGGAGUCUGAAGACCGAGGGGAAUGAAUGGGAUUUCUACACUACACAAGCACCGACGAGGCGACGACGCUCGAUCGUACAGGCACAAAGCACAACCAAAAUAAGCCACGUCUCCUUCACAAAGAGCUCCCUCGGCGGUGCGUUCCUCGCCCAGCGCGUCCGUCAGGAAACGCUGCGCCGCCGCCGGAUCGGUAGUCGAUCGGCCGGUUGCAAGUCGAUCGAUCGCCGCUUCCCGUCGGCCGCCGGAGAUUUGCACUGACUACGACAUCUCGGCGGUUUCAUGAGUUCGGGGCAGAAGAUGUGCAUGGAUGAAGCUCUGCUCAAGGAACCUGUUAAUCAGCCUGCACCGAAGAAUCAAGAUGAUCCAAUGGAGACAUUGGGGGCAUCUCCUUCGUGGUCUUCUCCUACAUGGACCUUGUCGUGCUCUUCUACUUCCUUCGCCAGUUUGAGAGGACUCCGCCAGAGUCACCUCGCCGACAGCACAUCAAGAUGGUGGUG
Long non-coding RNA from Panicum hallii, 504 nucleotides. RefSeq lists it as uncharacterized. The record is from RefSeq and is a predicted model, not a curated record. The transcript has 3 exons. Lineage: Eukaryota; Viridiplantae; Streptophyta; Magnoliopsida; Poales; Poaceae.